ACGCUGGCGGCGUGCUUAACACAUGCAAGUCGAACGCUGAAGCCCAGCUUGCUGGGUGGAUGAGUGGCGAACGGGUGAGUAACACGUGAGUAACCUGCCCCCUUCUUUGGGAUAACGCCCGGAAACGGGUGCUAAUACUGGAUAUUCACUGGCCUUCGCAUGGGGGUUGGUGGAAAGGUUUUUUCUGGUGGGGGAUGGGCUCGCGGCCUAUCAGCUUGUUGGUGGGGUGAUGGCCUACCAAGGCUUUGACGGGUAGCCGGCCUGAGAGGGUGACCGGUCACAUUGGGACUGAGAUACGGCCCAGACUCCUACGGGAGGCAGCAGUGGGGAAUAUUGCACAAUGGGCGAAAGCCUGAUGCAGCGACGCCGCGUGAGGGAUGACGGCCUUCGGGUUGUAAACCUCUUUCGCUCAUGGUCAAGCCGCAACAGUGGUUGUGGUGAGGGUAGUGGGUAAAGAAGCGCCGGCUAACUACGUGCCAGCAGCCGCGGUAAUACGUAGGGCGCGAGCGUUGUCCGGAAUUAUUGGGCGUAAAGGGCUUGUAGGCGGUUGGUCGCGUCUGCCGUGAAAUCCUCUGGCUUAACUGGGGGCGUGCGGUGGGUACGGGCUGACUUGAGUGCGGUAGGGGAGACUGGAACUCCUGGUGUAGCGGUGGAAUGCGCAGAUAUCAGGAAGAACACCGGUGGCGAAGGCGGGUCUCUGGGCCGUUACUGACGCUGAGGAGCGAAAGCGUGGGGAGCGAACAGGAUUAGAUACCCUGGUAGUCCACGCUGUAAACGUUGGGCACUAGGUGUGGGGGCCACCCGUGGUUUCUGCGCCGUAGCUAACGCUUUAAGUGCCCCGCCUGGGGAGUACGGCCGCAAGGCUAAAACUCAAAGGAAUUGACGGGGGCCCGCACAAGCGGCGG
Molecule: ribosomal RNA, 905 nt
Filed under: uncultured bacterium
Lineage: Bacteria
Description: bacterial SSU rRNA
Rfam family: Bacterial small subunit ribosomal RNA
Source: RNAcentral